Molecule: ribosomal RNA, 253 nt
Filed under: uncultured bacterium
Lineage: Bacteria
Description: partial 16S ribosomal RNA
Rfam family: Bacterial small subunit ribosomal RNA
Source: RNAcentral
UACGGAGGGUGCAAGCGUUGUUCGGAAUUAUUGGGCGUAAAGGGCAGGUAGGUGGUCUUAAAAGUCUACUGUGAAAUCCCUGGGCUUAACCCAGGAAGUGCGGUGGAUACUCUGAGACUAGAGUGCCGGAAGGGUGCGUAGAAUUCCUGGUGUAGCGGUGAAAUGCGUAGAUAUCAGGAGGAAUACCAGAGGCGAAGGCGGCGCACUGGACGGUAACUGACACUCAACUGCGAAAGCGUGGGGAGCAAACAGG